Ictidomys tridecemlineatus (thirteen-lined ground squirrel) is the source of this 12030-nucleotide non-coding RNA. Lineage: Eukaryota; Metazoa; Chordata; Mammalia; Rodentia; Sciuridae. The record is from RefSeq and is a predicted model, not a curated record.
UUUGUAAAAGAUAAUAUAAAAUUAUACAUACUAUGUGGUACGUGAAUCUAAAGUUCUAUCUUGAUAUAAUUUGCUCACAAAACAGCUGAUUUGGAUUGCAUUCUUGAGCUCAAGAGUCUGUGGAAAGUGUGGGAAAACUCAUGUUGAUGCUGGUUCCCUUGGCCCAGAUUCAUAAGACUGCUUUCAGCUGCUGCUUAUUUGAUGCGCUAAUUCAUGUCACUUUGUGUUGUAGGCUUCCCAAAGCGAUGUUUCAACACCAAGUCUAAGUGCACUUCCCCGGGAGACUGACAGGGUUGAACAGGAGAAGGGCGGUUAUUAAAUACACACUAAGGCAGACCCUGUGUGAUAUGAAUUGUAUGCUGUCCCAAGGAUUCAGAAGACUACCUCUUCUCCCAUACAACAAAUACCUGCCAGUUAACUGUCAGAGUGCUGUUCUCUGCAUAUAUCUGGUUUGAAACUCCUGGUUCUGAAGUUCUCCAUAGAUGGGAUCAAUGAUUAGAUAUUUGUGUUUUUACUGCUACAUUAUGGCUAUACAUAUAAUUUCAGGAUCAGUGAUUAGAAAGCUGUUUUGAUCUUCUCAAAAAUGCUCAGGUAAUCAUGUUUGAAUUUAAAAACCAAUGUCACUUUUUAAAAAAAUAUUUUCUAUAUUUUCUAUAUAAAGUAGGUAACAGGAUCUGUUAUAAGAGUAUACGUUCUGACCAUUCAAGUUAAUUGAGGUAUAUUCAGACCAAAUGAAAAAAUAAAAGGAACCAAUGAACAGUUUUUGUUAUAAGUCACUUUAAACUUCAUGCUGGUUGCUUUCCAUGGGGCUCAAUAACAGACUGAGGCUUACCCUAGGAAGGCCAUGGUAAAACCACACACCUGUAGGGAAAAUUGUUUAGAUCCCUUCCUGAGUACAUUGGCAAGGUUAAUGGAUCAGACUAGUGAGCUGUGACUGGACUAGUUGAGGAUCUGAUAAAGUACUGGUGAACUUUGGUGCAGAAGCAGUGAACUGGGUCUUAACAGAGAUGGGCGUAGGUGGUAUGGGCCUGGGAAAGACAUCUGGAAGAAAAAAGAGACAAAAAAAAAAAAAAAAGGCUUUAUUCAGGCGCAGUUACAUCAAGAGCCUGGCCUGCAUUGGAGGAGUUUCUGCUACUGGAUAUCGACAGAUGGUGGGAUACUGGCAUGGCAGGAAGGAAACAUAUCUGGGAAGUACGAAUCAUGGUUUGAUGUGGGCUCUGCAUUGAUCAGGUAUAUGGUUUUGUACAGUACCUAUUUGAGAUAAAGCUUCCAUUUCUUCAGUUGGAGAAUGGUUGAGUCAGACCAUUUAAACCAUCUGUUGUCCUGGUAAUGCUCCAUGACUCUAAGAUGAUCUGAUCCUUGUACUGUAUUCUGUAUGUAAUGAGAGCAUUUCUUACAGCUGUCGAUAAAGCUGAGGAAAUACUCUGUUGUCUGCUGAAGAUCCUAGUGCCCAUUUGCCUUGCAUCUCUACUUUUUCAUUGAUGAAAAGUGAUGAGAGCAUAAAACAUAAUUUAUAAUUAUUUUCAGAAACAUACUAUAAAGCUUUAAAAUUUACAUGGUUGACAAUUGGAAAAGGCUUAGCCAGAACACUAUUAAUAACUCUGAAUUGUACGUGAUCUCAAUUGUACAUGAUUCUUAAAAAAAAAAAUUGUUAACUAAAUCUUACCGUAUAUUAUUAUAUAUUUUAAGAACCUUAUAAUUCUUGUUUUCACCGAAAGUGCAGAUAGAAAACCAAUGGAACAAUGUGAUACCAGGAAUUUCAACAUAAUCUUGUUUCCCUAUGAUUUGAUUAUUAAAUUGGUUGCCUUUUCUGUUUAUUUGGCUUUGUUAAAGAAAUAUUACUCAUAUACGAGUUUCUGACCGCUCAUAUGACCAAUUCUGCUUCCUCACAUGUUGAAGCAUAACAUUAGAGAAACACGCUGAGGCAAACAUUCAAAGCAGGGUUUGUUUAAAAAGGGGGUAACAUAGACUUCUCCGGGAGGGAGAAGGGGGCCAUAACUGGUAUUCUGGUAUCCCAAGAAGUGAGGUGUUCUGCCUUUUUUUUAAUAUCUCCUAGGCUUCCUUUGUUUUCCUGCUCUCUUCCCCUUAUCUUUCUCCUUCCAGGAGAUGCUCAGUGGGAUAGCCAAAAGGUGGGAAACAGGUGGGCUGAAGGGGCCCUGGAGGAGUGAUUCAGGCAGGAAGCAACUCCUUGUGUGUGUGUGUGGGGAAAUUCCUUAGCAACAGGUUGGAGCAGGGGCAGGUUCUCUUGAUAAGGGUGGAGGAAGAGCUCUAAAGGAAUUAACAUUUCAAUUCCUUAAUUCUCUGGAUCCCACCCUUGCCUAUCUGCCUGUCUAAUUCUGGCUUCAAUAUGGCAUGAUCAUGCAUUAAAAAUUAGCCCUGUAUUCAAUAAGAAUGCAGAGAACACAUUACCUUGAUAAAAAAAAAAUGCAUCAUUUAAGGACGGAAUGGAAUCAAAGGAGUUCUGAAAUAGACAUAGAAACCUAUGUGAAGUGAGCAUAUGGAGGAUGGUAGAGGAACAAGCUAUAGUUCUUUAGACUGGAAGAAACACCAGCAGCUGGUAAUGCGGCUGGCACAGAUGGAAAGAAAUGACAUCUUUUUUAAUAGAUAAAAAUAUUCAAAAGCAUAGAUAAUUCCAAUAGAUAUAGCAAAUUUAUAGAGCAUCAUCUCAACGUGGCUAGAAAUUUUACAGAGCAUUGAGAGAGAAAAUGAAAGAGGCAUUGGUUGUAAAGAGAUCUGUGUAAUAAGAAUCGUAAUGCAUUCUGCUGUCAUAUAUUAAUAAAUAAAAUAAAAUAAAAUAAAGUGCAGCCUGUCUAAACUAUAAAAAAAAGAAAGAAAAAAAGAGUUACGGGACCCAUUUAGUUAAAUGUCCAGGCCCCAUAGAAGCUAUUUCCUCUGACCACACUCUUGAGCAUGAGUAUAUUUGAAGAUUUUAACUGAAGUUGAGCUCUGCCAGGGGAUCAUGAGUGAGAGUAGGUCACAGUUCUUUGGAGUUCAGUCCUCUUAAGACUCUCUGUGGAAUCAAGAAAAAAGAAAUGGCGAGUGACCUGAAAUUCAAUGAGACAAUGUGACAGUCUCAGUGAAAAAGUUCAACUAGUUCACAGUGGGAAAAAAAAAAUGGAAAUGGGGUUUUCUGCUGAAACAAGUAACAUUUGUAACCACAAAAUAUAUAUUUUUAAAAAAGUAAAAGUGAUUUUAAAAAGUAAACAUGAUUCUAGGCAAACAAGAUGUAGCCACAAAAAUCAUGGAGAUUAUUUUCCUGCUCAAGGUCUAGAAGCUACGUUAGAGCUGAGAAGGUAACAGUGUGUGGGGGGAGCAGGGUGCUGAGACCUUUCCCGUACUAGGAUUUUGUAAUCUGGAAGGCAUGUGGAUAAGGAGAGGGAGCCAGUCAGCUCAGGUGACAUUUGUUUUUAAGGAACAGAAAUAAUGAGAAAUGUCAGUAAAAUAAUAACUCUGCAUUAAAGGCAACAGGAAAUGGCUUAUUCUGAGCCAAAUGUGAGUGACUAUGACCUAGGAACACCUUCAAGUUACCUUGAGUGGUAUUUUUAUGAUUUAGAUGUAAGGUAUCUCCCAAAAGACAAUGCAAGAAAGCUUAGAGGUGAAGUGAUUGGGUUUUGACAGCCUUAACCUAGUCAGCAUAUUAAUCCUCUGAUAGGGAUUAACUGAUGGUAACUGUAGGCAGGUAGGGUGUGGGUGGAGGAGGUGGGUCAUUGGAGGUAAGCUUAGGAGGCAGAUAUUUUGUCCUUAGUAAGACAGUAGACUCCUCUGCUUCCUACUUGCAACAUCCUGCUUUUCUUAUCCACACCCUUCUACCAUGAUGCUCUGCAACAUGGUAGAACAUGCAACAGAGUUGGCCGUCUACAGACUGAGACCUCUGAAAUGGUAAACCCUAAAUAGGCUUUUCCUCCUCUAAGUUGUUCUUGUCAGGUCUUUUGGUCACAGCAGCGAAAAAACUAACUAAACAGGCAUGUUCCACAUUGAAAGAGGUUACACAAACUUUUAUAGCCAAAAAACAAAGAAAGCCAUAAAUCAACAUAUUUAACAAAUGCGUUUGUAGGACAUAACAUAGGUGGGCCACAGCACAGUGGGCCAAUCUUUCCUAGAGGUGUCAGAUGUUAUCUUGUAGCAUUGUCUACUUUCCGGUUGGUGGAGGUGAUGGGUCUGUUAGCUUAAUAGUACAUUCAGAAAGCUUUACCUAUUAGCCAAGAGAAUAUGAGGUCAGAUGAAAGGUUAAAUCUACAUGGCCUCUUUUUUUAAGGCCGUAAAAUGCCCAAGAUAAAUUUUGCCUGUUGACCUGUAGCAUUUCAUCUCUCCACAUUCAGUAUGUUUUAAUCAGCCAAGGUCAUACAGUUUGCAGGAUCUUUAAUAUCUUUUUCCUGUUCUCUUCAGAGAACUUUAGCUUCACACUAGGAACCAUGACUUUGAGCCACUUUUACUCUAGACUUCUCCCAGAUCAGAUAGCAAAAUUUUACAUGUCUGGCUAAGGCAGUACUAAAGUGCUUAGGAAUUUCUGAUUAGAGAUUUAAAGAAAAUCCAAGAUUUCUGACAAGAUAUCAAAUGUAGUGAAGUUACAUGCAAGAUGAACAUUAAAAUAAACUUUUGGAGUAACUUUAAUGUUAGCUCAAGUACAUGGAGGAACUGUGAUUGAAACGAGUUGGUUUGUCUCCAAAGGCCAGUCAUUCCACUGUCUAUCUUCCACUGAUUGCUAUGUUCAAAAUUCCCCAAAUUCAUGUUUUAGAACUUAAUCAUCAUUGUGAUAGAACUAAGAGGUGGAGCCCUUUGGGAAGUGUAUGGUACCUUAUGAAAGGGCUGGAAGGAACUGUCUUAGGCCCUGUUUUGCUCCUGUGCCUUCUGCCACAAGAGGGCAUGAUAGUUUCUCCCUCUGUAGAAUGGAACACAAGGACCUUCACCAGACACCAAACCUCAUGAUAGCCUCAUCUGAAGACUUAUCAUCUCCAGAACUGUGAGAAAUAAUUUUUUAUUCUUUAUAAAUUAAAGUCUCAGGUAUUUUGUUGUAGCAGCCCAAGUGCACUAAGACAGUAAUUAUUCCUUAAAUAUAAAUACCAUUCAGAUGUCUGUCCUGAGACCUCGUUUCUCUUUGAUCACCAUACUCUUUCAGGACAGUCACAUGCAGCCCAGCACUUCAGUGACUACAUGUGUCUGUCACAUGUGACAGACACAGAUUUUAUCCAUAAAAAAAAAAACUCAACAGUAAUUUUACAGUAAUUUUCACACCACAUCAAUUUCUUAUAUAAAUUUAAUAUCACAUCUCAGGUAUUGACCUUACUCCCAAUUAUCUUCUUCUUAUGAGAUUCAAAAAUUAUUGACUUAUACCCCAGUAUGUUCACAUUUUAUCCCUAAAAUUAUCUCACCCUCAGUCAUUGACAGCAUUAAUUAAUAUAUAAAGUAUAUUAAGAAUUUAGUGAAAACUAAAAUCCCACUGCAUCUGCACCAGUUCACACAAUAAUAUUUACAUACUAUUCUGCCUACCACACCCUAUAUAAGCAUCACAACCCACAUGUUAAUGUCGCUUACAUUUAAAGCAAAGCACUGAAAAUGCUUUUAAAUCUGUGUCUGUCAGAUGUCUUUUCACUAAAUUUUGGGCUUAUAUAUAUAGCCAGCUACAUACCUCACAGCUUCUCAUGGACGUCUUCAAAACAACCCCAACUUCAUGUAUAAUAAUGAAAACUCAGCAUGAAACCCUUUCCAAACCCUUCACUGUAUUUACAGCUCUUUCUUUGCUGCUCUGUGAGAACCCGGCUUAUUAGUAUUUCAUUUUUCCUCCUUGUCCAGUAUCUGCUCUUCAGUGUAUGUUUCUGAUUCUCAUUCUUUUAAUUUUUUCAGUUUCUAAUGUUUGUAUCUUUUGGAAACUACUUUAUUAUGGAAAGAAUCUAAAUAAAUUAGUCAAAAAAAUAAAGGUUAAGAGCUGAGUACAGUGGCAAGGAGGGUGUGUCCUCAUAAAUUGCCAUGAUCUCCCAGUAGGUGGCGCUCACACUGCACUUUGCCUCUAGUUUUUUUUUAUGCUGAGAAAUAUUUCACACAACUUUCUCUAUACAGAUGAUAAAUUUAAGGUAAUAUGCUAUUUUGUGUUUUGUGAUCUUUCAAAUAGCCCUCUAGGCUACUAAUUCUGUACCUAAUGAUUUGUGUUCUUAUUGUAUAAAGGAAGUUAGAGUUUGGGGCAAAGUUGAUAGAAAGAACACAAUUUAUUAUGGGGAGAAUGUGUAAUAUGGGGUGAGAGGAAGCAAAGCCCUGGAUACCAAAGAUCUCAAACAAAUAGAAUUUAAUAAAUUUGUAUCAUCCUGUGGGAAACCAGCAACCUGGAAAGCAGAAAGGAAAACCCAGAUAUGGACAGAGUGAGCUAACUAAACCCAUAUCAAGUGUUAUCUGGAAAAUAAAGGGGGAGGACCAUACAUUAAAAUCAGAUACAUAAGGUAGUCUUGGCAUCCAUUCACAAGAUGUGUGAUCUUGGGAAAGUGUUUUCUUUCUGGGAUUUAUAUUUCUUUUCUCCAGAAUGAUAACAUUGAGCUAAGUGAUCUUGAAAAUUCCACAAUUGCUAAACAGAAAUCUUGAGUAAAAGGGAAAAAGUAAUUCCAUGAUCAGCAGGUAAAAGAUACAGGCCAACAGCUUCCAUGGUUUAGUAUAUAUUAACUAACAGAUCCUUGCGCAGAAUUUCUUUCUGAUGGGUGUUAACUGUAGGCCACUGUUAUGAAUCCUGGCUGUAUCUAAGGUUUAAUUGGGGAGGCAUAGCAAUGACAGCCCCACUCAGACCAGCUAUGGGAGUCUCGGGACGUGAGGCCCAGGUAUCUUUGUCAAAAAAGGGUCUAGGCAGCUUGAAUAUACACAUGAGAUUAAGAACCACAGAUGCAGAUCAUUAGAAAGACUGAUGAUGCUAAAACCUUUAGUGAGAAUAAACAAUGUUCUUAGUAGUCAUGGAAGGCUUAUGCAUAUGCCUGGAAAGGAAAAAUAUGCACAGGACAAAUGAAAGAGUGAAAAAGAGAGCAGACGAUACAGAGAACAAGUCUGGGGGUGAAAUAUAAAAGCACACAGUAUGGAUACCGCCAAAUGUAAAUUUUCACCACUUUUGGAAAAACUUUGAAAAAUGAAGACAUUGCUCCGUUAAGAAAGAAAAGAAAAAGGAAAGAAGAAAGAAAGAAAAAGGAAAUAAUUUUUUUUCACCUUACAUUUCAUCCUUCAAUUCCAUUGUCUACACGAGGGAAAUGUUAAGUGUAAGAAAUGACAUAAUUUUGUUUUUAUAACUUUAAUUGUCUUAUGUGGAAUCCCCCCUUUCCCUUUCCAGUUGGAAAGGCUCCAUUUCUUAAACUCUUUUAUUAUUUUUUUUUUAUUAGAGCACUAUAUCUUUACAUGGUUAUCUGGGUUUCUUUUGACAUAUUAUACAUAAUAUAAGGAAUUUUAUUUUAAUCCCCAUUUCCUCUCCCCUUAUCUCCCCUCUUUUUCCCCCUUUCUCUUUGCUCUACUGAUCUUCCUUUCAUGCCUUUAUUCAUUUGUUGUUGAUUGGUAAUUUCUAUGGACAGGUGAAGAAGAUAUUUCUUUGAUACAUUUAUAUAUGAAUGUAACAUGACUUUGUUAAGAUUUUUUCCACAUUUCUUUCCUUCCUCAUUCCCUUCCAUUACUCUUACUUCUACUCCACUGCUCUUCCUUAUAACUUUGUGAUAACUAACACCCUCCUGGAUCGAGAAGGCUCCACUUAAGACAUCUCUAUGCAGACAGAGUGCUGUGACAUCUGCCAGUCUCUUUUUUAUUGAAUUCUUUGUUAACUUAGUUUGCAGAUUUAUGGUUCUCAACUUGUUUUCAGCGCCUCAAAUAAUCUGAUAGUGUGUUAAUCAAGUCUUUGUUACUGUAACAAAAUGACUGAGAUAAUCAAUAAGAGAGGUUUAUUUUGGCUCACAGUUUUGGAGAUUUCAGGCCAUGAUCAAUUGGCCCUGUUGCUUUGGGCCUAUGACAGCACACCAAGGUGGGAACAUGUAGAGCAAAACCAUUCACCCGAUAGCUAAAAGCCAAGAGAGGAGGGAAAGGUGUUGGGGUCCUUUUGAAGGCACUUUCCCAGUACCUGAAGUCCUCCCACUAAGACCACAAGAAUACAUCACCUCCCAAUAAUGCCCAGCUGUGGACCAGCCUUUACCACACAAGCCUUUGGUAUAUAUUGAAGAUCCAAACUGUAGCAGAUAGUAUUGUAUUAAUCUUAAUUUCCUGAUUGUGAUAAUAAAUGUAUUAUGGUUAUAUAAGAUGCAAAACCCUGAAGAAUUGGGUAAAAGGUAUAUGUAACACACUGUCAUUUUUGCAACAUUUUUAUAAGCAUAAAUUAUUCCAAAUUGAAAAAGCUAAGGAGAUAAAAAUGAUAGAAUAUCAAUGAAAAUACAUUUGCAAGAGACUUGAAAAAUAUCUAAUAUAUUGCUUUUGUGUUAUUUUAUAAACUGCUAAAAUUUGAGUUCAAUUUUAUUAUAGUCUCUUAAAAAAUUAUUAUUAUCAGGUAUAAAGUUGUAAAAGAUAUGGAAUGUAUAAUACAGCAUUUUCAAGCACUUAUCUACAAAAAUUAACUUUUGAAACAUGCUUUUGGUUAACUAAGCUAACAAGUUGAGGACAAAGAAUAUAAAAGUUCAGAAAGAAAACUGGGGAGCUUGGUAUAUUGUGAACAAAAAAAGUUUUUGUCUUCUAAAAGUGUUCAUGUAAAAAUCAAUGAAUUGUGUGGCUAUGAAUGAAUGUUUUAAAAGCAAAGAUUUUCUUUUAGACAGAUAAUAAAUAUUUUAUAAAACAUUUAAAUGUCAAUUCAAAUACAACUAGGCUGUUUUCAGUUGAAUAUAGUUGUCCAAAUUGUCCUAAUUAAAAAAAAAUAGCAGUUAAAACAAGCCAAUUUUGCUCUGGUAAGUAUUAUUUUCAGCCAGAGACAUAGUUGAAGUUGUUGAUUUUAACAGCGGUUUGAAAAUUCUUGCAAUUAUUUGGUCACUGUAAAGCACUUAUAAAAAUAAAAGUAGGCACAUUUCCUGAGAAAACACCUUUGAAAAGUCUAUGAAACAAGAUAUUUUAAUUUUCAUCUGAGUUAAUAUUUGGAUGCCAUAAUACACAAUUGUCUGAGAUUUUAAAAAAUUAUUAUUAUCAGGUAUAAAGUUGUUUUGAAAGGCUUUACCUAUAGAUAAAAUUUGUUGGCUUUCUCUUGACUUCUUUUCUGCAACAUAGAUUCAUUUGUACACAUUGUAUACUGUAACUAGCAUCUAAUACUUAGCUUUCUAUUCUUUCUGCUUUUUCUUUUAAUUUUGGAAACCUAUAAUUAAAGGUCAACAUUGGAAAUUUAUCAAAUAGUUCUAUUUAUUUCAUAUGCAUGCUUAAAUAGGCCUCUUUGUACAUGCAGAAGUCCCAAAGAUGAAUAUCUUUUGGUAUUUCUCUUUUCUCUCAUGCUUUCUUCCUCAUUCAUUACUGCUUUAAACAGUUUCAUAUUGAGUAUUUUUUUUCUCUCCUCAGUAGUGAGGAUUGAACCUAGGAGGACUUUACUAUUGAGUUACAUCUCCAGCCCUUUUCAAUUUUUAAUUUUGAGAUAUAUCUAAGUUACUGAGGCUGACCUGGAACUUGGGAUUCUUCUACUUCAGAUUACUGAGUUUCUGAGAUGACAGGUGUGUGCCAUGCCUCACUCAUGUUUGAGUAUAAGAGUUUUUAGUUCUGUCUUCAAUUGAUGAUCUGUUUCUCUCCUGCCCUUUGGACUUUCCAUUCCAUGUUCUGCUUUUGCUCUUUGCUUUUAUGUAAAAUUCUCUAACUUCAAUUUAUUUCAUUGGCUUCUUGAGAAUUUCUUCAGAUUGCCUACCUGUGGUACCGAGCUGACUCCUUGAAAGUCAGGUUGGUCUACCUGAACCAUGAUAAGGGGAAGAUUUUGCAGUAGAGUCCUUAUGGAGCCAUCUAGGUAGGAGUUUCUAGAGCAUAGCAAGGCAGAAUAUGGAAGGCUCCAAAUUCCCUCUGAAGUUUUCCCAGCUGGACUUUUUGAGGAAAGAGUAUCAUUGCUAUCAGUGCAAACCACUAUCAGCUAGUACUGAAACAUUGCCUCUGUGCAUCAGAGGGCUGUCACUUGACCUUCCUUCAUUUCAGACAAUCCAUUGUUUGAGGAAUCUACACUACACUUAAUGUUGCUUAUAGAUCAGUCAGUUUGUGUUCCUGGGAUACAUAAGUGCUGAAGGAGGAGGCAUUAGAUAUGAACAAGAACAGAGAUUCACCCAUUCUGUCUCAGAAACAAUUGAGAUAUUCAAAGUAUAAAGUAAAAAGUACACUAGAUAUUUGUUAAAAAUAGCAUGGAAGAUUUUAUUUAGGACUACUGCAAAAAGGGUCAAAGCUAUUGCAAUAGGGGAGAUUGCACUCAACUCAGGGGAAAUAAAAGGCAAGAGAGUUUGUAAGUGCUAAGAUAAGCUGGUAGAAAAGCACUGGAGGAUAUUAGGAGGGACACUGGUAAAUGUGCUUAGGUCUUUCGUAUUUGCUAAUUGGUGUUUAUUGCAGUUCAACUCCUACCCUCCCAUAGAGACUGGGACACCAUCUUUCCUGAUGGUUACAUGGAGAAGAUGUACAUCUCAAAGGAGAAGAGAAAAAAAAUCUAGUGAGGUUUCCUUACAUAAAAGAUCUAAGAAAAGGGAAGUCAGUGGCCUUGGCCUGUGGUCAGAAGAAAACCCACCUACAGUUAAGUCAAGAUGAGGGAAUUGUGAAGGCCAUCUUGGUCACAGAGGAGGGGAAUCUCCAGUGAGCCAGGAAAGGAAUAAGGAAUCUUCUUGCUGCCUGUUUUUUUCUCCCUCCCUAAUUCCAAAGGAUUCAGAAAUUUAAGAAGUGGGAGGGAAAAUUAAAAAAAAAAAAAAAAAAGAGGGAAGAAGAAAGAACAAAUGUUUUAUACCUCCUUCCUGUAGUUUUCUAUGUAUAGUAUAGAUUGCAACUGUGGGAAGGAAUGAAAUGCCCUGAUGUAAAAUCAGGAUGAUAUUAGAUGGAAAUGAACACUUUUUAAAGGUUCAUGGAGAGCCUAAUAUUUUCUCAGAAUGAACGGGAAAAGCACAAAUCAUGGGACUUCUGGAGAGUUUUUACCCAGAGUAGAUCAAAUGUAAAGUGGGAGAUGAAAAUAAAUUUUCUUUUUUAAUUCAUCUCAUUAGUUGUGGUUAUAAUUAUUAACAGCCAAUAUAAUUACAAACUAAUAAAAUUAUUCUGUGAAAAUGUGACACUCUUUAAGAGUUUACUAUAAAGACUCAAUUUACACAAAUAAAAUUGUAAAUAUACUUUAAGAAGAAGAAAAAUAUUAUUGGAAGAGAAAAUCUCAAAUUCAUGAAGAAAUUUUAAGAAAUAGGUAACUCGGAUAAAUAAAAUUAAAUACUGAUUGCAACUCUCUCUUUGGGGGAGGGGUUAAGAUGGUCUAAGAUCACAUCAUUCCUAUUUAAAUAGUUGUUUAUUUAGGGGAAUCAAAAGAAGUAAUAGACAACAAUGCCACAUGAUGCUAAUAAAUGGCAUAAAAUAAUAUUUAAAAAAUAGUGAAAAUAGUGAUUUUUCAUAAAUGUGUAUGUCAUUUGUGAACACUAGGAGUGCUAUUUUGGUACAGCAUAACAUAUACAUAGCUAUAUGACUAGCACAUAAAAUUCUUUAAAAAUGUACAUAUAAAUACACUUUGACAAUUUUUUUUAAGUCAGAUUAUGCUUCUGUGUUCUUUCUGUCACUGUGACAAAACACUGGAGAGAAAUCAACUUAAAGAGGGGAAAGUUUAUUUUGCCUAAUGGUUUUAGGGGUUUUAGUUCACAGCCACUUUGCCCUGUUGCUUUCAGGCCUGCAGCAAGGCAGUACAUUAUGGUGAACACAUGUAGCUGAGGAAAACUGCUCAUCUUAUGGUGGUCAUGAAGCAAAGAGAACUGCUUUUAUGUCAAGAACCCUCCUUCUAUACCCAUUAAGCUACGAGUCCAUAAAUAGCUUAAUCCAUUAAGCCAUCAAUGAGACUCAAGCCCUCACCAGAUGUGGCCCCUGGACCUUGUAUCAGAACUGUGAGCCAAAAUAAACUUCCUUUCUUUUAAUUUA